RNAcentral lists this ribosomal RNA (301 nucleotides) under uncultured bacterium. RNAcentral describes it as "partial 16S ribosomal RNA". It matches the Rfam family "Bacterial small subunit ribosomal RNA", at positions 509 to 807 of the family's 1533-position model. The record is from RNAcentral.
CAGCCGCCGCGGUAAUACAGAGGGUGCGAGCGUUAAUCGGAUUUACUGGGCGUAAAGCGUGCGUAGGCGGCUUUUUAAGUCGGAUGUGAAAUCCCUGAGCUUAACUUAGGAAUUGCAUUCGACACUGGGAAGCUAGAGUAUGGGAGAGGAUGGUAGAAUUCCAGGUGUAGCGGUGAAAUGCGUAGAGAUCUGGAGGAAUACCGAUGGCGAAGGCAGCCAUCUGGCCUAAUACUGACGCUGAGGUACGAAAGCAUGGGGAGCAAACAGGAUUAGAUACCCCUGUAGUCCCUGUCUCUUAUAC